RNAcentral lists this ribosomal RNA (253 nucleotides) under uncultured bacterium. RNAcentral's name for it is "partial 16S ribosomal RNA". It matches the Rfam family "Bacterial small subunit ribosomal RNA", at positions 524 to 776 of the family's 1533-position model. The record is from RNAcentral.
UACGUAGGGCGCAAGCGUUGUCCGGAAUUAUUGGGCGUAAAGAGCUCGUAGGCGGUCUGUUGCGUCCGCUGUGAAAACCCAGGGCUUAACCCCGGGCCUGCAGUGGGUACGGGCAGACUAGAGUGCGGUAGGGGAGACUGGAAUUCCUGGUGUAGCGGUGAAAUGCGCAGAUAUCAGGAGGAACACCGGUGGCGAAGGCGGAUCUCUGGGCCAUUACUGACGCUGAGGAGCGAAAGCGUGGGGAGCGAACAGG